CAGGCUACUGAUGACUAAAUAUCUGAUGAGGAAAUUCAGCAUUAUUGUGUCAGAUGAUGGCAUAAUGGUGUGCACUUUUCUUCUAGUAAGACGUUGCGAUCCAUUAGAAAAGUUAUUAAUCUGUAUAUAGGCCCGGAUAGGAGUUUAUACAUUAAGCGAGUAACAUGACUUUGUUGUUAUGUGAAUGCGUGUAAACUAUUUGGUGUUCUUACAAAUGUCUGAUGGUAUUUUGAUUGAAUGUCGCAUACAAUUUUUUAAUAAUUUGAUUCCUCCCGAGAAUGUGAGCCUUACUUUAUCACCACCUUUUUAAAUUUAGAAUCCCUUCCGGACCCGCCUUGAAAACCGAACAAAAAAUCCUAAUUGGAAGGCAAUUCAAUGGAAUUUUUAAAACCUAUAGGCAAAAUGAAAUUAAUUUGUUAAGGGAAUAACAAAGGGGGUAUUAUUUAUUUUAUUUUCCCUCCCCCGGGAAUCUAAUGGUAGUACCGGAAUUUCCGGCGGCGGGAACAACAAAAAUAACCCGGGAGAAUACAACCUGUGACCCAAAAAAUGGUAAACUAGGCCGGAUCAGGUUGAAUUCAGGGAAAACCCUGAUGGAAAACCGAACCAUUUCUAACGGGCAAAUCGAUGGCCGAAUUUGGUAAUAGGGCCAAAAAACAUCCCAACCCAUCUAUAACCUGUUCCCUUCCAAAA
This 690-nucleotide ribosomal RNA is filed under the name Culicoides zuluensis. RNAcentral's name for it is "eukaryotic LSU rRNA". It matches the Rfam family "Eukaryotic large subunit ribosomal RNA", at positions 437 to 966 of the family's 3401-position model. The record is from RNAcentral. Lineage: Eukaryota; Metazoa; Arthropoda; Insecta; Diptera; Ceratopogonidae.